Molecule: ribosomal RNA, 774 nt
Filed under: uncultured Neocallimastigales
Lineage: Eukaryota; Fungi; Neocallimastigomycota; Neocallimastigomycetes; Neocallimastigales
Description: partial large subunit ribosomal RNA
Rfam family: Eukaryotic large subunit ribosomal RNA
Source: RNAcentral
CGUCUAUAUACGUAUAGCAUAUCAAUAAGCGGAGGAAAAGAAACUAACUAGGAUUCCCUCAGUAACGGCGAGUGAAGCGGGAAGAGCUCAAAUUUGAAAUCUUCAAGGUUCUACCUUGACGAAUUGUAGUUUAAAGAAGUGUUUUCUGUUGGAGUUUUGGUAAAAGUUCUUUGGAAUAGGACAUCAUAGAGGGUGAGAAUCCCGUAUUUGACCAUUAUUUCCAACUUUGUGAUACACUUUCAAAGAGUCGGAUUGUUUGGGAAUGCAGUCCAAAAUGGGUGGUAAAUUUCAUCUAAAGCUAAAUACUGGCGAGAGACCGAUAGCGAACAAGUACCGUGAGGGAAAGAUGAAAAGAACUUUGAAAAGAGAGUUAAACAGUACGUGAAAUUGUCAAAAGGGAAGCGUUUGACACCAGUGUUGUUUUCUCGAAAAUCAAUUAAAAAUGGUGGGAUUUUGUGUUGUAUUGACUUUAUCAGCUUUCUGCACUUUUUUCCUGUCUUUUUUAAUGCACUUUUCGUUUAACAAGUCAACAUCAAUUUCUUUUGUUGUAAAAGGGUCAUUGGAAGGUGGCUUUCUUUUCGGAGAAAGUGUUUAUAGCCUUUGACUUCUGCAAUCGGAGAGAUUGAGGUCUGCAGCGUAGAUCCUUCGGGGUUAGAUACAUUUGUGCUAAGCUAUAGCCUUUCAUAGACAACUUGUUGACUAUGAUCAGUCAUGUAGCUUACUCGCUUAUGUCAUUUUACCUACGCUUAGGAUGUUGACGAUCAGCUGAGCGCG